This 108-nucleotide non-coding RNA is filed under the name Paramagnetospirillum marisnigri. RNAcentral's name for it is "Magnetospirillum marisnigri Glycine sequence". It matches the Rfam family "Glycine riboswitch aptamer". From Rfam's summary of the family: This family represents the bacterial glycine riboswitch. The record is from Rfam by way of RNAcentral. Lineage: Bacteria; Pseudomonadati; Pseudomonadota; Alphaproteobacteria; Rhodospirillales; Magnetospirillaceae.
AUGAUCCCCGUGGGAGAGAUCGCCCCGGUUCCGGCAACGGAGCCGAGGGUGGCGCCGAAGGAGCAACCGCCCCUGGAAACUCUCAGGCAAACGGACCGCGGGGGGAUG